This is a long non-coding RNA of Odontomachus brunneus, 765 nucleotides long. RefSeq lists it as uncharacterized. Lineage: Eukaryota; Metazoa; Arthropoda; Insecta; Hymenoptera; Formicidae. The record is from RefSeq and is a predicted model, not a curated record. The transcript is spliced from 2 exons.
UCGCGCGGACCAUUGGAUCACUGGUCGACGAACCGUGGGGCGAACAGCCUCUUAUUCCACGGCGUGUACGUAUAGCGAGUUCGUGGGAACACGAUAAUGAGGCCCGGAGAGUUUACGUGGUCGGAGGAGACGCGGCUGUUAUUUGCGCGCAAACGUUCGUAAUCCGGCAUUAGCGGCCGGAAACUUGGAUGUUCCAUUCGAGAGUCAACGACGCAUCCGAACAACGAGAUACUUACUCUCACCGUACUCUGACGGCAACUGCCUGAGAGUUGUUGCAUUGGUUAUCAAACUCGUCACACGUAACGCUGAGGGCCAGACGAGAAACGUACAUAGAGAUACAAAUGACUUUCUACUUUUGUUUUGCCUGAAAGUUAGACGUUGUGGCAAUCGAGUUGCUCUUGCUUGCUUAAAAUAAGUUUACUGAUGUUAUGCGUUGAACUAGUGUCGUGUGUUAAACUAAUGUUUGUAUUCAAUUUACGCUCUCAAUAUAACUGUUUUAAUAGUUGUAUUAAUAAUGAUUUGCCAUUCAAUUGCUAUUCCUAACCUUUUCAAUGACAUGGGAAAAUUUUGUUUGUUAUAAUAUGGAAUAUUGCAAAGGUAGAUGACUAAUAAUCUGAAAAUUUUUGGCAAAAAAUAAUAUUUUUGUUUCAUUUUGUUUCUUUCCAUUUAUUACGUCUAUGUUUAAUUUCCGUUGUUCUGUUCAUUCCUUACAUAAGAUACAUGUAUGAUAUCUUUUAAUAAAUAUUGAUUUUAUUGAUUACGUUA